GACGAACGCUGGCGGCGUGCCUAAUACAUGCAAGUCGAACGCAGUGGGGACGGGUGAGUAACACGUGGGUAACCUCCCAUCAGAGGGGAUAACACUUGGAAACAGGUGCUAAACCGAUACUGAUGGAUGGACCCGCGGUGCAUUAGCUAGUUGGUGAGGUAACGGCUCACCAAGGCCACGAUGCAAAGCCGAGCUGAGAGGGUGGUCGGCAACACUGGGAGUGGGACACGGCCGAGAUUCGUACGGGAGGGAGCAGUAGGGAAUCUUCGGCAAUGGACGAAAGUCUGACCGAGCAACGCCGCGUGAGUGAAGAAGGCUUUCGAGUCGUAAAGUUCUUUUAUAUGGGAAGCGGUACCAUAAGAAAAAGCCCCGGCUAACUACGUGCCAGCAGCCGCGGUAAUAC
Molecule: ribosomal RNA, 403 nt
Filed under: uncultured bacterium
Lineage: Bacteria
Description: partial 16S ribosomal RNA
Rfam family: Bacterial small subunit ribosomal RNA
Source: RNAcentral